UACGAAGGGGGCUAGCGUUACUCGGAUUUACUGGGCGUAAAGGGCGCGUAGGCGGACAGUUAAGUUGGGGGUGAAAGCCCGGGGCUCAACCUCGGAAUUGCCUUCAAUACUGGCUGUCUUGAGUGUGAGAGAGGUGUGUGGAACUCCGAGUGUAGAGGUGAAAUUCGUAGAUAUUCGGAAGAACACCAGUGGCGAAGGCGACACACUGGCUCACUACUGACGCUGAGGCGCGAAAGCGUGGGGAGCAAACAGG
This 253-nucleotide ribosomal RNA is filed under the name uncultured bacterium. Its description in RNAcentral is "partial 16S ribosomal RNA". It matches the Rfam family "Bacterial small subunit ribosomal RNA", at positions 524 to 776 of the family's 1533-position model. The record is from RNAcentral.